RNAcentral lists this microRNA (24 nucleotides) under Oryza sativa (Asian cultivated rice). Its description in RNAcentral is "osa-miR1862d". The record is from miRBase by way of RNAcentral. Lineage: Eukaryota; Viridiplantae; Streptophyta; Magnoliopsida; Poales; Poaceae. RNAcentral also lists the same sequence under 1 other name.
ACUAGGUUUGUUUAUUUUGGGACG